UCCUUGUACAUCAAAAGUUAAGUUCCUUGGCCAUUGAUGGAUGGAUUUCCAUAUUCUCCAUUGGAAUAUCAAAUUCCAAGAUAUACGGAUUGUACUCCCCCACCUCACAAUCCACCAUUUGCCUAAGUAGAUGGAUUCUUAUCACAUCUUAUAUGCACAAUGUUGAGAAGUGGUUUGAAUAAGGUCCAACCCCUAAUUUUGGAAUUUUUUCCUCUAAAGCAUUUUCAC
This 228-nucleotide long non-coding RNA is filed under the name Capsicum annuum. Its description in RNAcentral is "long non-coding RNA (CANN_LNC010552)". The record is from RNAcentral. Lineage: Eukaryota; Viridiplantae; Streptophyta; Magnoliopsida; Solanales; Solanaceae.